RNAcentral lists this unclassified non-coding RNA (222 nucleotides) under Hevea brasiliensis (rubber tree). The record is from RNAcentral. Lineage: Eukaryota; Viridiplantae; Streptophyta; Magnoliopsida; Malpighiales; Euphorbiaceae.
GACAGAGGACUACACACCCUGGGCUGUGUACUUUUCUGUCAAGACACACUUCUCUUAUUUCAGACCCUAACAGCACUGCAUCACUUUACCUACAUUAAAAACUAAAAUAUGCAAGAUCGCUGUGCCCAGUAUGCAACCCCUACUAUUGAGAAGUCAGUCAUUUCUAGCACCUAAAAUCACAAGCAAGUUGGUUGUAAUUUCUGAAAACAUGUGGGAGGCCCA